This is a non-coding RNA of Ciona savignyi (Pacific transparent sea squirt), 73 nucleotides long. The record is from Rfam. NCBI's taxonomy places the organism in Eukaryota, Metazoa, Chordata, Ascidiacea, Phlebobranchia, Cionidae.
GGUCCUGCGGCCUAAUGGAUAAGGCGCCUGACUACGAAUCAGGAGAUUCCAGGUUCGAGUCCUGUCAGGAUCG